GGUGUAGUUCAGUGGUACAGCAUCUGCUUUGCAUGCAGGAGGUCCCAGGUUCAGCCCCCAGUGGCAUCU
Non-coding RNA from Podarcis lilfordi (Lilford's wall lizard), 69 nucleotides. NCBI's taxonomy places the organism in Eukaryota, Metazoa, Chordata, Lepidosauria, Squamata, Lacertidae. The record is from the annotation of a GenBank genome assembly.